GAAUGGAUGGGUCCUGGCUCUACCCUUCUUAAACCUCAUUUAAGGGCUGACUGCCACCCAGAGAAGGAUCUCUGGUUGGAUAUCCUUCCCUUGUGGAGUUUCUUUUGUGAGCCUCAGUCUUCAGAGAAGGUCAUUCCUUGUGUAAUAAUGCUUCAUUAGCCAAAUGCAAUUUGCUUUUGAUGAAGUCUUGAUAGCUGCCACCAUGUCUGAUGAAGACAUGAAUGUGAUGAAGAGACAGUGAUGUGAAUAACAUAUCAGCUGUUGAACCAAGAAAGUGGUCCGUGGAAUCAGGACCUAGAUGACCUGAAAAGACCAGGAAGGUGGAGCCUUAUUCAACCUAGGGAGGUGAUUGAGAGCUCUUUUGAAAGUCAAUGCACUCCUUUGAGAAAAAGCUGAUGGACUGAGGAGCCUCAGAUUUGUAGCCAAAGUUGUUCGGGUUUGGAACUCCAGAAGUUCUCAUAUAAGAAGGAAGGUAUGGGAAGCUUGGCAAAGAUAAACAGAAAU
This is a non-coding RNA of Meleagris gallopavo (turkey), 504 nucleotides long. The record is from RefSeq and is a predicted model, not a curated record. NCBI's taxonomy places the organism in Eukaryota, Metazoa, Chordata, Aves, Galliformes, Phasianidae.